AUUGAACGCAGGCGACAUGCCUUACACAAGCAAUGAAACGGCAGCACGAGCAGCAAUCCUGGUGGCGAGUGGAGAACGGGUUAGUAAUACAUCGCAACGUGCCCAGUUAUGGGGGAUAACGCAGUGAAAGCUGUGCUAAUACCGCGUAAUAUCUAGGGAUGAAAGCAGGGGAUCGCAAGACCUUGCGCGAAUGGAGCGGCCGAUGGCGGAUUAGGUAGUUGGUGAGGUAAAGGCUCACCAAGCCGUCGAUCUGUAGCUGGUCUGAGAGGACGACCAGCCACACUGGGACUGAGACACGGCCCAGACUCCUACGGGAGGCAGCAGUGGGGAAUUUUGGACAAUGGGCGAAAGCCUGAUCCAGCCAUGCCGCGUGCAGGAAGAAGGCCUUCGGGUUGUAAAAUUCUUUUGUACGGAACGAACCGGCCUUUUCUUAUAAAGUGGUCUAAUGACGGUACUGUAAGAAUAAGCCCCGGCUAACUACGUGCCAGCAGCCGCGGUAAUACGUAGGGGGCAAGCGUUAUCCGGAUUUAUUGGGUGUAAAGGGAGCGCAGACGGCAAUGCAAGUCUGAAGUGAAAGGCGUGGGCUCAACCCGUGAAGUUCUUUGGAAACUGUAUAGCUUGAGUGUAGGAGGGGUAAGCGGAAUUCCUAGUGUAGCGGUGAAAUGCGUAGAUAUUAGGAGGAACACCGGAGGCGAAGGCGGCUUUCUGGUCGACAACUGACGUUGAGGCUCGAAGGCGUGGGGAGCAAACAGG
RNAcentral lists this ribosomal RNA (753 nucleotides) under uncultured Pedobacter sp. Its description in RNAcentral is "bacterial SSU rRNA". It matches the Rfam family "Bacterial small subunit ribosomal RNA", at positions 28 to 776 of the family's 1533-position model. Lineage: Bacteria; Pseudomonadati; Bacteroidota; Sphingobacteriia; Sphingobacteriales; Sphingobacteriaceae. The record is from RNAcentral.